GUGUUUUUAUUACAAGCAAACGCAUUCAAAUACAUCAAGGUUUUAAAUGUAAAAAACGUAGGCCUUUACGACCUACAAAGGGUGCACAGGUGUGGUAAGAAAAGAGGUUGGAAUGGUUCAAGGAGUGCACAUGCCCCUGAGGGCCAGCAAAGUCAUCCUCGAGCAUUUCGUUAAUGAUCCUUCCGCAGGUUCACCUACGGAAA
This 203-nucleotide unclassified non-coding RNA is filed under the name uncultured fungus. Its description in RNAcentral is "sequence contains ITS1". Lineage: Eukaryota; Fungi. The record is from RNAcentral.